This 1268-nucleotide long non-coding RNA is filed under the name Bos indicus x Bos taurus (hybrid cattle). RNAcentral's name for it is "lncRNA (ENSBIXG00005018089.1)". Lineage: Eukaryota; Metazoa; Chordata; Mammalia; Artiodactyla; Bovidae. The record is from RNAcentral.
GUCGCGUCACAGGGCUGGGUCCUGAGCUGGGGUCUCCUGAUAGGGUUCUUUAUCCUGUUCCCUUGCCUUCACCGCCACUGGUCCAGCGUUGACGAGCAGGACGAGGUCUGUGGCCUCAGUAUGCACUCCUUCCAGGCGUGAUGGGCAGAGACGGGCUGGCUCCCAGGUGGACCCCUAGAGGUGAAUGAGUCCCUCAGGCUCUAGUCCCCAGGGAACAUCUCGAGGGGGUCUGUAAGAAAACCCUGAAUAUCUGUGGGGUGACCCUCUCCAAGGGAACACUGCUGAUGACCCCCAUCUGAGUUCUGGUCCCCGAUCACAAGACCAGAACCUGAGGAGUUGAAUUCUGAAAGGCGCCAGGAUUGCUGCCUGCCAAGUGGACGCUGCAAGAGGUCUCAGUCACUGGAAACGGGCCUUUUCAGUUUGGAUGGACUCCACCAGUUGCCCCCACAAUCCUCGUCCCAGCGCUCCGCUAGGACAGCCUGCCUCGGUUCUUUCCCAGCACUCUGAGUUCUUCAGUGUGCCAUUCCUGCAAACCCGGGGAAGGAGCAGCACUGAAUUCUUGUGUUCAUCUGCAUCUCCCUGGCCAGCAAGCACACAGUUGUUUGUAGGUGGGACUAAGGCAGGGGUUCUCAACCAGGGGUGAUGGGACGCCCUCCAGCAUCAACGUAGCCAAGUCUGCAGACUUUUCUGGUUGUCAGGCUGGGUGAGCGGGGCUUCUGGCCUCUAGAGUGUGGAGACCUGGGAUGCAGCUGACCAUCUGGCAGUGCACGGAACACCCCCCAACAAAGAAGCUCCAUGGUGCAAAGUGGAGAAACCUGGAGAAGAGAAACACACAGUCUAAAAGCUACCCCUGUAACUGAGGGCGCCCUGGAAGAGCACACGUGGUUUUUAUGGAAAACAGUGAUGAUGAGACAUUUCUCAGCAAAGCUUAUCUCUGUACACGAGUUGUGAGAGCUGCCCUGUUGAAUGAUGUCCACAAAGGCGGUGAGGACUUCCUGUCCACGGCGAUUAGCGACACGAUUGCCCGCGUGUCGUUCUCCAUCUCCAGCCUCAGCAGUAAGAACCCGGUCAGUGGGAUUUGCAGCCCGCAGCCCCUCACUGACCACAACGCCCUUCUGUCAGCUGCUGUCCCUCUCCCGUCCACGCUGUGCUGGGCACAUUUCCCACCUGAACAGUCCCAGGCAUUCCUUCGCUUUGUGUGCCUUGCCUUUAUUUCACAAAGUCUGGGGAGAUGCUAUAAGAUGGUGAAUAGAAAGGGUCUGAGAUGA